Salmo salar (Atlantic salmon) is the source of this 56-nucleotide non-coding RNA. Lineage: Eukaryota; Metazoa; Chordata; Actinopteri; Salmoniformes; Salmonidae. The record is from Rfam.
GCUACACAUGCAUGACUAAGUCGCUUUUGAUAAAAGUGUCUGCUAAAUGGCAUAUA